Molecule: ribosomal RNA, 465 nt
Filed under: Vreelandella stevensii
Lineage: Bacteria; Pseudomonadati; Pseudomonadota; Gammaproteobacteria; Oceanospirillales; Halomonadaceae
Description: partial 16S ribosomal RNA
Rfam family: Bacterial small subunit ribosomal RNA
Source: RNAcentral
CCUACGGGGGGCAGCAGUGGGGAAUAUUGGACAAUGGGGGGAACCCUGAUCCAGCCAUGCCGCGUGUGUGAAGAAGGCCCUCGGGUUGUAAAGCACUUUCAGUGAGGAAGAACGCCUGGUGGUUAAUACCCAUCAGGAAAGACAUCACUCACAGAAGAAGCACCGGCUAACUCCGUGCCAGCAGCCGCGGUAAUACGGAGGGUGCGAGCGUUAAUCGGAAUUACUGGGCGUAAAGCGCGCGUAGGUGGCUUGAUAAGCCGGUUGUGAAAGCCCCGGGCUCAACCUGGGAACGGCAUCCGGAACUGUCAAGCUAGAGUGCAGGAGAGGAAGGUACAAUUCCCGGUGUAGCGGUGAAAUGCGUAGAGAUCGGGAGGAAUACCAGUGGCGAAGGCGGCCUUCUGGACUGACACUGACACUGAGGUGCGAAAGCGUGGGUAGCAAACAGGAUUAGAUACCCGAGUAGUC